Molecule: ribosomal RNA, 1397 nt
Filed under: uncultured prokaryote
Description: partial 16S ribosomal RNA
Rfam family: Bacterial small subunit ribosomal RNA
Source: RNAcentral
GGGAUAGGUUAGUGGCGCACGGGUGAGUAACACGUAGGUGACCUGCCCCGAAGAGGGGGAUAACUACUGGAAACGGUAGCUAAUACCCCAUGUGAUCGGCGAUUCGUUUCGCUGAUUAAAGCUCCGGCGCUUUGGGAGGGGCCUGCGGCCGAUUAGCUAGUUGGUGGGGUAAUGGCUCACCAAGGCGAUAAUCGGUAGCUGGUCUGAGAGGACGAUCAGCCACACUGGCACUGACACACGGGCCAGACUCCUACGGGAGGCAGCAGUGAGGAAUAUUGCCCAAUGGACGAAAGUCUGAGGCAGCAACGCCGCGUGCGCGAUGAAGGCCUUCGGGUUGUAAAGCCCUUUUCUGGGGGAAGAGGAAGGACGGUACCUCAGGAAUAAGUCUCGGCUAACUACGUGCCAGCAGCCGCGGUAAAACGUAGGAGGCAAGCGUUAUCCGGAUUUACUGGGCGUAAAGCGCGCGCAGGCGGUUCCGUAAGUUGGACGUGAAAUCUCCCGGCUCAACCGGGAGGGGUCGCCCAAUACUGCGGGACUUGAGGUCGGGAGAGGGAAGUGGAAUUCCUGGUGUAGUGGUGGAAUGCGUAGAUAUCGGGAGGAACACCAGUGGCGAAGGCGGCUCUCUGGACCAUACCUGACGCUGAGGUGCGAAAGCGUGGGGAGCGAACAGGAUUAGAUACCCUGGUAGUCCACGCCGUAAACGAUGGGUACUAGGUGUUGGGGGUAUCGACCCCCUCAGUGCCGAAGCUAACGCGAUAAGUACUCCGCCUGGGGAGUACGGCCGCAAGGUUAAAACUCAAAGGAAUUGACGGGGGCCCGCACAAGCAGCGGAGCGUGUGGUUUAAUUCGACGAAACGCGAAGAACCUUACCUGGGCUUGACAUGCUGGUAGUAGUGAAGCGAAAGUGGAACGACCCUUCGGGGAGCAUGCACAGGUGUUGCACGGCCGUCGUCAGCUCGUGCCGUGAGGUGUUGGGUUAAGUCCUGUAACGAGCGCAACCCUCGUCGUCAGUUAUAUGUGUCUGGCGAGACUGCCGGUCAAAAACCGGAGGAAGGCGGGGAUGACGUCAAGUCAGCAUGGCCUCUAUGUCCGGGGCUACACACACGCUACAAUGGCCGGUACAAUGGGUAGCCAAGCCGCGAGGCGGAGCCAAUCCUCCAAAGCCGGUCUCAGUUCGGAUUGUAGGCUGCAACUCGCCUGCAUGAAGCUGGAGUUGCUAGUAACCGCGCGUCAGCCAUAGUGCGGUGAAUACGUUCCCGGGCCUUGUACACACCGCCCGUCACGUCAUGGGAGCCGGUAACACCUGAAGCCGGUGGGCUAACCCCCGAGCUUUGCGAAGGGGAGGCAGCUGUCGAAGGUGGGAUUGGUGACUGGGACGAAGUCGUAACAAGGUAACC